GCUGAGGAGGAGCUUGCUUCUCUGGAUGAGUUGCGAACGGGUGAGUAACGCGUAGGUAACCUGCCUGGUAGCGGGGGAUAACUAUUGGAAACGAUAGCUAAUACCGCAUAAGAGUAGAUGUCGCAUGACAUUUGCUUAAAAGAUGCAAUUGCAUCACUACCAGAUGGACCUGCGUUGUAUUAGCUAGUUGGUGGGGUAACGGCUCACCAAGGCAACGAUACAUAGCCGACCUGAGAGGGUGAUCGGCCACACUGGGACUGAGACACGGCCCAGACUCCUACGGGAGGCAGCAGUAGGGAAUCUUCGGCAAUGGACGGAAGUCUGACCGAGCAACGCCGCGUGAGUGAAGAAGGUUUUCGGAUCGUAAAGCUCUGUUGUAAGAGAAGAACGAGUGUGAGAGUGGAAGGUUCACACUGUGACGGUAUCUUACCAGAAAGGGACGGCUAACUACGUGCCAGCAGCCGCGGUAAUACGUAGGUCCCGAGCGUUGUCCGGAUUUAUUGGGCGUAAAGCGAGCGCAGGCGGUUAGAUAAGUCUGAAGUUAAAGGCUGUGGCUUAACCAUAGUACGCUUUGGAAACUGUUUAACUUGAGUGCAAGAGGGGAGAGUGGAAUUCCAUGUGUAGCGGUGAAAUGCGUAGAUAUAUGGAGGAACACCGGUGGCGAAAGCGGCUCUCUGGCUUGUAACUGACGCUGAGGCUCGAAAGCGUGGGGAGCAAACAGGAUCAGAUACCCUGGUAGUCCACGCCGUAAACGAUGAGUGCUAGGUGUUAGACCCUUUCCGGGGUUUAGUGCCGCAGCUAACGCAUUAAGCACUCCGCCUGGGGAGUACGACCGCAAGGUUGAAACUCAAAGGAAUUGACGGGGGCCCGCACAAGCGGUGGAGCAUGUGGUUUAAUUCGAA
This 902-nucleotide ribosomal RNA is filed under the name uncultured Streptococcus sp. RNAcentral's name for it is "bacterial SSU rRNA". It matches the Rfam family "Bacterial small subunit ribosomal RNA", at positions 66 to 955 of the family's 1533-position model. The record is from RNAcentral. Lineage: Bacteria; Bacillati; Bacillota; Bacilli; Lactobacillales; Streptococcaceae.